AACAGGAUUAGAUACCCUGGUAGUCCACGCCGUAAACGAUGUCGACUUGGAGGUUGUGCCCUUGAGGCGUGGCUUCCGGAGCUAACGCGUUAAGUCGACCGCCUGGGGAGUACGGCCGCAAGGUUAAAACUCAAAUGAAUUGACGGGGGCCCGCACAAGCGGUGGAGCAUGUGGUUUAAUUCGAUGCAACGCGAAGAACCUUACCUGGUCUUGACAUCCACGGAAGUUUUCAGAGAUGAGAAUGUGCCUUCGGGAACCGUGAGACAGGUGCUGCAUGGCUGUCGUCAGCUCGUGUUGUGAAAUGUUGGGUUAAGUCCCGCAACGAGCGCAACCCUUAUCCUUUGUUGCCAGCGGUCCGGCCGGGAACUCAAAGGAGACUGCCAGUGAUAAACUGGAGGAAGGUGGGGAUGACGUAA
This 416-nucleotide ribosomal RNA is filed under the name uncultured bacterium. RNAcentral's name for it is "bacterial SSU rRNA". It matches the Rfam family "Bacterial small subunit ribosomal RNA", at positions 771 to 1187 of the family's 1533-position model. The record is from RNAcentral.